CUACCUUGUUGCUUUGGCGGGACCGCUCGGUCUCGAGCCGCUGGGGAUUCGUCCCAGGCGAGCGCCCGCCAGAGUUAAACCAAACUCUUGUUAUUUAACCGGUCGUCUGAGUUAAAAUUUUGAAUAAAUCAAAACUUUCAACAACGGAUCUCUUGGUUCUCGCAUCGAUGAAGAACGCAGCGAAAUGCGAUAAGUAAUGUGAAUUGCAGAAUUCAGUGAAUCAUCGAAUCUUUGAACGCACAUUGCGCCCCUUGGUAUUCCGAGGGGCAUGCCUGUUCGAGCGUCAUUACACCACUCAAGCUAUGCUUGGUAUUGGGCGUCGUCCUUAGUUGGGCGCGCCUUAAAGACCUCGGCGAGGCCACUCCGGCUUUAGGCGUAGUAGAAUUUAUUCGAACGUCUGUCAAAGGAGAGGAACUCUGCCGACUGAAACCUUUAUUUUUCUAGGUUGACCUCGGAUCAGGUAGGGAUACCCGCUGAACUUAAGCAUAU
RNAcentral lists this ribosomal RNA (489 nucleotides) under Aureobasidium pullulans. Its description in RNAcentral is "eukaryotic LSU rRNA". The stretch from base 133 to 286 matches the Rfam family "5.8S ribosomal RNA". Lineage: Eukaryota; Fungi; Ascomycota; Dothideomycetes; Dothideales; Saccotheciaceae. The record is from RNAcentral.